This is a long non-coding RNA of Rhipicephalus sanguineus (brown dog tick), 454 nucleotides long. RefSeq lists it as uncharacterized. The record is from RefSeq and is a predicted model, not a curated record. Lineage: Eukaryota; Metazoa; Arthropoda; Arachnida; Ixodida; Ixodidae. The transcript is spliced from 2 exons.
GCGGCUGGUCGCUCCCCCAUUCCGUGGCUUCACCUUUGCCGCCUAUGCGUUGGGAGUUUCCACUCCAGCAUUUUUUUAAAUCCUCGUUUACACACAAACGCGUUGUAUGAAGUGUAGUGCGCGUGAACAGAACUAUCGUGCGAGCGGUGGAACGCAGAAUGCAUCUCUCGCUCCUCUUGAAAGUUAACUGACCGGAGCGUUUGCCGUCGUUUUGGAGCAAAGUUGAGUCCGCCUCGGCAAGACGCGCUCAUGAAAAACGCGAAAUGUAUGCAGUUCCUUGCACCGUCUCGGGGAGCUACAUCUGCGCGAGGCUGAGCGUAAGUGACGCUCAGCUGAAAGUGUCUAAUAGUUCAUUCCUCCUCCUCCCGGCUGGCCGCCACGAGCGAGUGCAUCGUCGAAAGGUUUUAGAAUGUCAUGUUCAUUUUUCCUCGUGCCAAAUAUGUCACUUAAAAGA